Non-coding RNA from Dipodomys ordii (Ord's kangaroo rat), 70 nucleotides. The record is from Rfam. Lineage: Eukaryota; Metazoa; Chordata; Mammalia; Rodentia; Heteromyidae.
GGGAAGAUGGCUCAGCGGUAGAGCACUUGCCUUGCAUGCAUGAGGCCCUGGGUUCGAUUCCUCAGUACCA